RNAcentral lists this unclassified non-coding RNA (375 nucleotides) under uncultured Pseudomonadota bacterium. RNAcentral's name for it is "uncultured proteobacterium contains 16S-23S intergenic spacer region". The record is from RNAcentral. Lineage: Bacteria; Pseudomonadati; Pseudomonadota.
UCCGGUUUGUCACCGGCAGUCUGGCGUGAGUCCCCAACUUAAUGCUGGCAACACGCCACGGGGGUUGCGCUCGUUGCGGGACUUAACCCAACAUCUCACGACACGAGCUGACGACAGCCAUGCAGCACCUGUCUCACGGUUCCCGAAGGCACCAAUCCAUCUCUGGAAAGUUCCGUGGAUGUCAAGACCAGGUAAGGUUCUUCGCGUUGCGUCGAAUUGAACCACAUGCUCCACCGCUUGUGCGGGCCCCCGUCAAUUCCUUUGAGUCUUAAUCUUGCGACCGUACUCCCCAGGCGGGAAGCUUAAUGCGUUAGCUGCGCCACCGAACAGUAUACUGCCCGACGGCUAGCUUCCAUCGUUUACGGCGUGGACUAC